This is a transfer RNA of Botryobasidium botryosum FD-172 SS1, 107 nucleotides long. It matches the Rfam family "tRNA". From Rfam's summary of the family: Transfer RNA (tRNA) molecules are approximately 80 nucleotides in length. Their secondary structure includes four short double-helical elements and three loops (D, anti-codon, and T loops). Further hydrogen bonds mediate the characteristic L-shaped molecular structure. tRNAs have two regions of fundamental functional importance: the anti-codon, which is responsible for specific mRNA codon recognition, and the 3' end, to which the tRNAs corresponding amino acid is attached (by aminoacyl-tRNA synthetases). tRNAs cope with the degeneracy of the genetic code in two manners: having more than one tRNA (with a specific anti-codon) for a particular amino acid; and 'wobble' base-pairing, i.e. permitting non-standard base-pairing at the 3rd anti-codon position. The record is from Rfam. Lineage: Eukaryota; Fungi; Basidiomycota; Agaricomycetes; Cantharellales; Botryobasidiaceae.
GCCCGCCUAGCUCAAUCGGCUAGAGCGUCAGACUUUUACGGAAUUAAGUCCUUUAGGGCCGUGCUUACGUAAUCUGAAGGCUGCGAGUUCGACCCUCGCGGUGGGCU